Molecule: ribosomal RNA, 447 nt
Filed under: uncultured prokaryote
Description: bacterial SSU rRNA
Rfam family: Bacterial small subunit ribosomal RNA
Source: RNAcentral
UCGAGAAUCUUCGGCAAUGGGCGCAAGCCUGACCGAGCGACGCCGCGUGCGGGACGAAGGCUUUCGGGUUGUAAACCGCUGUCGGAAAGGAAGAAAUGCAUUAGGGUUCACUCUAGUGUUUGACUACCCUUUCGGAGGAAGUCCGGGCUAAGUUCGUGCCAGCAGCCGCGGUAAGACGAACCGGACGAACGUUAUUCGGAAUCACUGGGCUUAAAGAGUGCGUAGGCGGCUUGGUAAGUUGGAUGUGAAAGCCCUCGGCUCAACCGAGGAACUGCGUUCAAUACUGCCAAGCUAGAGGGAGAUAGGGGUGAGCGGAACUAAUGGUGGAGCGGUGAAAUGCGUUGAUAUCAUUAGGAACACCGGUGGCGAAAGCGGCUCACUGGGUCUCUUCUGACGCUGAGGCACGAAAGCUAGGGUAGCGAACGGGAUUAGAUACCCCCGUAGUCC